RNAcentral lists this ribosomal RNA (209 nucleotides) under uncultured bacterium. RNAcentral's name for it is "partial 16S ribosomal RNA". It matches the Rfam family "Bacterial small subunit ribosomal RNA", at positions 29 to 246 of the family's 1533-position model. The record is from RNAcentral.
AAUGAACGUUGGCGGCGUGGAUUAGGCAUGCAAGUCGCGCGAAAACCGGUCUUCGGACCGGGGACAGCGGCGAAAGGGACAGUAAUGUGUAGAUAUCUGCCCCGAGGACCGGGAUAGCUGCGGGAAACGUGCAGGUAAUACCGGAUAACAUCUCCGGAUCAAAGGUGUGAUUCCCGCCUCGGGGAGUGAGUCUGCACUCCUUAUUAGUC